CUCUCUUCACCUGCCUAUGGAUACCAAUCGUCGCAGAGUCGGUGCGUGGUAGCAGAGGCUGAGGAAUCAACAGGACUCGCGUGCCUACUUAUUGACUUUAGGCUUUGAAAACUCGCACUGGAUUUACACUGCAAAGACUUGGACACAUCUUAAGACAGGACAAUAAUGAGAACUGAGACGUGUGUCACAUGGGUGGUUUGUAGUCUCUGUCUAAUCACCUUGUCUGUCUGCCGACCAAUCAAAGACGUCGAAGGAGAAGCUUUUGCAUCAGACAAUGAGGAACGUCUCCUGUUAGCAGCCAAACUUUUACAACAGAUGCAACAGAGGCAGUAUGGCAUACGAUACUAUCCCAACAUCCCAACACACAAAAGAAACCUAGGGACAGUCGAUUCCUUGUACAAUUUACCAGAUCUCCUCUACAGAGGGAAAAGAUAGUCACACAGAGAAGCUUAGAACAAAUCGUUACGGAGAAGAUGGAUGAGACCCCAACAGAUGGAAUACUCGCUUUUCAAAGCUUACGCAAUAACCUUCGAUGGCCAUGCUAUCUAACGAAGUGGAGAUGAUUCAACUGCUUUUCACUUCUUUAUUUUAGAAAUACGGAAAAUUAUAUAUAAAUGAAUCUUUAAAAAAAUUACAUUGAAAUAAUUCGCUGUACUUUAGAUACGGAAUUUGUAAACGCGUUUAGAAAUUUCUUUCAUAAUGAAUACAUUGUAGAUUGUAUAUGAUAUUUCAUGUUACAUUUUGUACAUGUACCAAUUAUGUGAAAGAAAUUAUAUAUGAUACGUAAUCCAUUAUAUGACAAUUAAAUCAAAAGUUAAAAAAAAUGCAAAAAAAUGCAAAAGCUUAGACAAAGUUUCCUUUAAACUUUCAAUGGGAUACUCAACUGAUGGAAAACUUAAUUGUCCUUUUUAAUGUAAGAAGGAAAAAUAGUAUUUUUUUUUAAAAUUGUAAAUCAAUUAUAUUCAAUAUUGCGUAGGACGUGUUAUAUUUCAAUGAAUAAUUCACUUUUGUAAUUUUUAAAUUUGAUUUGGACCAAUGAUAUACAUUGCAAUCAUAUAAUUGACAGGGUUGCUAUGAUUAAACAGAUAUUAAAUUUUC
Magallana angulata is the source of this 1098-nucleotide long non-coding RNA. RefSeq lists it as uncharacterized. The record is from RefSeq and is a predicted model, not a curated record. The transcript has 4 exons. NCBI's taxonomy places the organism in Eukaryota, Metazoa, Mollusca, Bivalvia, Ostreida, Ostreidae.